Molecule: long non-coding RNA, 1340 nt
Filed under: Crocodylus porosus (Australian saltwater crocodile)
Lineage: Eukaryota; Metazoa; Chordata; Crocodylia; Crocodylidae
Description: lncRNA (ENSCPRG00005014135.1)
Source: RNAcentral
UGCAGCUACAAGGUUAUUACACAGUGGGUGCAUUUACAUGUUCAUGAAUGCGUCUUAGAUAGUGUGCAUUUAGUUUAGUACGUCCUUAAGGAGUAACUAAACAUGCUGGACUGAGAGUUACCGUGCAGUAGCACCAGCGCACGGUUAUUUAGUGACGCUUCCUUUGCAUUAGCCUCAUAACACUGCGCAGUAGACUAUGGUUUGUGCUGUGACAUACUGCUGCGCAGUGUUAUUAGGCUAAAAUGCAGUAAGCGUCUUGUGUAGACACACCCAGUGAUAAACCCGGGGGUGAGCAGGGUUCGGCACAGUCCCACGGCUGAGCGAUGCUAUCUCGGGCCUGUGCUUGCGCGAUCCAUGCUGGUAACGAGUUUCAGCCUCCUUGGCCUGAUUCUUCCUUCUUUCACGCUGGUGCAAAUCAAAACCAGCUCCACAGAAGGCAGCAGCGGAAGUUUGUUAGUAUAAAAAUGACAAAAGCAGAACGGAGUCAGGGCCCUGUUACCUUUGCAUGCUAACAACCUGUCUUUACUAACUGGGUAUUAAGUCUACCACGGCAGCACCUAGCAAGCCCUAAUGAGGAGCAGCGCACUGCAUUAGCCGCCGAAGAUGAAUUAAUAUUGAAAAAACCGCAGUUCUUGUCCCCGAGACCUCAAAAGCAAGGUGUCUGACAGUGCUUAGGGGAAGGGAAAAAAAGGGCCACUUAAAUCUAAAGCCUUGCCUGCCUGCAUAUAUCCCUUUAAAAAUAAGAACAGCAUGCCUGAGCACGUUCUUAGCCCGCCUUUGCCCCAGUUUGAUCAUCAACUCUACAGGACUCUCCCCCACCCCAACAAGCCAGUGGGGUUUUGCCCUCUUUUUCAGAGAUCUGUUGGCACAGGAAGCCCCCAAGGCCUGGAAACCCUUCUGUUCCCAUCUCUCCCAGAUCCGCAUUUGCAACCAUCAGCAGCCAGAAGGGGGGUUGGUUUUAAUUUGAUCACAACACAGACACACAAGGAAAAAACACACACACAGAUCCGAGAACAAGAGCAAUUGUGAGUGUCUGGCCUUUUUUUUUUUCAUAUAUAAAUUAUAGAUAUAUAGAGAGAGAGAGAUAUCUCUAUGGUGGUGGCUGGAGGGUUGGGGUUAGUUUGUUCUGGUGCUUGGUGGGGGUUGGUGGGAUGAGAGAGCCGAGAUCUCUCUCUCUCUUUCUCUCUCUUUUCUCUUAUUUUGUUUUGCAAAAAAUAUAAUUCAGCUGGAAAUUGCAGAAGGAUCCUAGAGAAGGGGCUGGGGGGUGAUGCCUGGGUUGCUGGGGCUCUGCACAGAGAAGUAAGCAAGGCAUGCGGAAUAAUGUGUCCUUCUGGGCUUAU